Molecule: long non-coding RNA, 2283 nt
Organism: Microplitis mediator
Lineage: Eukaryota; Metazoa; Arthropoda; Insecta; Hymenoptera; Braconidae
Exons: 4
Source: RefSeq, a predicted model, not a curated record
UUAUUUUUUUUUCUAUUAGACUCCUAUAAAUGUAUGCACGACAAUAUUUAUUUAAGCAUCUGAACUUCAUCGUGUUGCACUAUAUAUGUUUAUAAAUAUGGUUAAGCUAGAAAUAAUUUACAUAAAGUUAAAAAAAGUUACCGGUAGCUGUUUUAAUGUAUCAUAUUUUUAACUUUAUGAUAAUUGAUAACAAAUUAUUUAUGAUUGGGUUGGCUCACAUGGAAUAUUCUACGCUUCUAGAGUUCGUUAGAUCUAUGAGACGACUGCGCACUUUACUAUUAAGAUGUCGCGGGGUUUAAAUAAACUUUUUAGGCUUCAGAAUCAGCGUCACGAACUAUCUUUGAUUCAAAAAAAAAUUCGGAAAAAAUAAAAAUGUUCAUAAAUAUGUAAAGAUACAUGGAGAAGAGAUAGAUGUAUGUACGAUUAAUGUAAGUAAAGGUUCGACGGGAAUAUAUUUAUAUAUAUUGAUGUCGGGCGAGAGUGCAAACUACUUUCAACGACAAAUAAAUAUGCUAAUGACAUUUAACAAACUUCAAAUGCCAUGCAUCUUCGCCUCUUUGCGUGGGACACUGAAGAACUAAGUUUUCUUAACUUUUAUAUCGAAGUACUGCUCUGCUGAGUAGGCUCAGUGAGUGAGAAUAUGAGGUGUGUGACACGAGAUGGGUAGUACAAGAUGUUUUACAGUGUAACAGAGAAAGAAAUAAAAAGGAGAAGGGUGGCGAAGAUAAACCGGUGAAAACUGGGUGAUGUAAAAGAGAAGAAAAAGCAUUCUCUCAAAUAAUAUAAAAUUCAAGGGGAAGUUGAUAAGCCGGUGCGAGUAAAAACUUUUCACUCUUGGAGCUCUAUUUCUUAUUGUAAUUAAUGCAUAUCGGCUUAGCUGGAAUUGUAACCGGAGGUGAAACCCUUUUUCACGUCUGCAGCCUUGAGUCUUCUUUGGAUUUAGACGAAAUAAGAUGCUAUAUCCCUUUCACUUAUUUUAUACUGGUGUUUGCGCUUUCUUCUGGAUACUUACGAAUAUUUGGGUAUCUCUAUAUGUAUAUUCAGUCUGUCACCAGCCGGCUGUGGGAAUUAUGACAUGACAUUUUGGACCGUCACUGGCAUAUUGUGCGGAUCAAAACACCACAUGCCGUCGGCUGUCGCGGUUUGAUUUUGCCCGGAAACAGACCGCGCACACGAGGAGGCCACAUACGUCAGUGACAGCCAAACAGACAACAUGAUAAGCGCCAGCAGUCCUUUAUUAGUAUUGCAUGUCCUUUAUGGAAAUCCAGGAUCGCUAUGGUUUGCUGGAUGACCAGAAGGCUUAUGUACGAACAUGAAACGAAAAUGGAACGGUGGAAUAUAAUGCGCGAUGUUUAAUUUACACGGGAUGGCUGUUGGCGAGACAACUAGUGCGGCGAGUUGGCAAAAAGAAUCGUAUGUGAUUCUCUUAAUGAGAGUACAGAGUAAAGCUUUCUUUGGGUGAUGCGAGCGGUGGUUGUGCCAGCCGCAAAAGACGUAUCAGGCGAGCUAAACGCAACGGGCGGUAUUCUCAUCCUUUAUAUACAUUUAUAUAUAUGUAUAUACAUAGAAACAUCGUCAUCUAUACCAUGGAACCAGUAGCAGCAAAGGCACCAGCAUCCUGCCCUCAUUUUUUUCACGGAGAUUUCUUCAUGCGUUCGAGAAUAAAUGAGAUUAAAAAUUCUCGAUUGAAAAUCAAUACCAGGGGUUCCGAAAAGAUACAGAGAUAGAGCUUAAAAAUACACGUGGUUUUGUGCGUACACAUGACAUCUAUCUUCAUCCAUCAACGAUAGCCACUAGUGAAUUUACUUUGAUGCCUUUGGUUAUAAAAUCUAGAUUAAUUCCCGAGUCGAAAUUUAAGUCGUAGAUUCAACGUUUUGAACGUUGAAAUCGUAGAUUCAACGUUUUGAACGUUGAAAUCGUAAUUUGAACGUAUUGAACGUUGAAAUCGUAGUUUGAACGUAUUGAACGUUGAAAUCGUAGUUUGACCGUAUUGAAUGUUUUAAAGGCGGCAACUCAAAAGGUUCAAACUCUUUCCAAUAAAUAUUUACAAGUGGGGCCAAUGAUUUUAAUUUUAAUUUUUUUGAACGAAAUUUCUAUUUGAUUUUAUUGAUAUAUUUUUUUUUCUUGAAAAAUACAUAAAAAAAUGAACAAUUAAAAAAAAAAAAGUUGAUUAUCACAAUUUUUACAAAUUUUCAAAAAAAUUUAUAAAUUUUCAAAAAAAUUUUGAUAUUCAACUAGAAAUUGUGCACCAAAAAUGAAAUUGCCUACUGAAAAAAUCCAUAA